GGCUCGCCUACUGCGCAGCCGCUUUUGGGUCUUAGCAACAGCAAGCACCUGCUUCAAACUGGUGGGACGUCAUUGCCCCCUACAAGACCGCUUUGAGAACUGCAGAAACAACCUGUCUUGGAAUCGGAUCUCCAAGAUGGUACUUAAAACACGAUUUAUCGUCGGUGCGUCUUUGGGGGCACUUUGGACCACGCCCUUCCUAACCAGAUCAUGACAUAUGGACAAAAUAAAAGUUUAUUGAACGUAUACAACACAGGUGUCAAACUCAAGGCCCGGGGGCCAGAUUCGGCCUGCCACAUCAUUUUAUGUGGCCUGCAAAAUUAAAGUGUCAACUCAAUGUUUCUUGUUUGAAUACCAAAAUUCUAAAUUGUCUUUCCUUUUAAUAACAAUGACAUAUUGCAACAUUUUUUUUGCUAUAAUCCCAAUUCCAAAAUAAAUUCUGUUGUAUGUAUGUGAUAAUAUCCACACACAUUCAUUUCUAUUUAAGUCAGUAAUGGCCCCACGCGGGAAUCCAUAACUCCGAUGUGGCCCGCAAAAAAAAAAAAAAACACCUUUGGUAUACAAGAUUUGGCGUUCUAUAUGCAUAUACAGGUUUAUUGCAUUGUUGCUUUGACUGCAAGGGAUGUUUUUCUCAAUUCCUACGCUCAGAAAGCAAAUUGUCCUAAUUUUGAACGGCAUCACGCUUGCACGCCUGCUGAGUGCAAUUAUGAAAAGCAGCUUGUGAUUGGUGCAGAGGACAGGGCCUAAAUUGAGCCCGUGUGUUAAAAGCAUCAGCAACAGCCAGACGCAAGAACAAGCCCAAGUCGCAACGCAGGCAGGACCCAGACAGCAAACACAUUCACCAAUGGCGAGUGACUUGUGUGUGAGGGUGCUUGUGUUCUGGCUGAUAGCCUUUGGACACCACGCUAUGGGAGGUGGUCCUCACCAUAGAAGUUAUGUUCGUCCUAGAAGCCAGGAGACUAGUUGGGAUCCGCAGCAAUAUAGUCAACUUCAGUCACGUUUUUUUGCUCCUUCUCAAAUCCAGCAGCACAGUGCAAGUUCCCCUCAGGAUGGUGCGGUUCUUGGUUCUAGUAGAGUGCUGUUUCCUCAAGUGGAAACAAUUUGCCCAAUCUGUCCUCCUUGCCGUAAGCCACGCCCUUGCCCUUUACCUGACUUUUGUCCUCCUCCAUACUGCAAGCGUGGCUAUCGUCCUUGCCCUUGCUCGCCAUCUUGCUGUAAGCGCAGCCGUAAGUGUCGCCCCAUGCAACCUUGGUAGGCUCCUCUCUGUCUAAGCAGGUUGACCAUUGAUGGUGUGCACUUCUUGGCUGUAAUUAUUAAAGCUGUGAAAU
Molecule: long non-coding RNA, 1328 nt
Organism: Syngnathus acus (greater pipefish)
Lineage: Eukaryota; Metazoa; Chordata; Actinopteri; Syngnathiformes; Syngnathidae
Exons: 4
Source: RefSeq, a predicted model, not a curated record